UACGUAGGCAGCGAGCGUUGUUCGGAGUUACUGGGCGUAAAGAGUGCGUAGGCGGUUUUCUAAGUUUGGUGUGAAAUCUCCCGGCUUAACUGGGAGGGUGCGCCGAAAACUGGAAGGCUUGAGUAUGGGAGAGGUAAGCGGAAUUCCUGGUGUAGCGGUGGAAUGCGCAGAUAUCAGGAGGAACACCGAUGGCGAAGGCAGAUCUCUGGGCCGUAACUGACGCUGAGGAGCGAAAGCAUGGGGAGCGAACAGG
RNAcentral lists this ribosomal RNA (253 nucleotides) under uncultured bacterium. Its description in RNAcentral is "partial 16S ribosomal RNA". It matches the Rfam family "Bacterial small subunit ribosomal RNA", at positions 524 to 776 of the family's 1533-position model. The record is from RNAcentral.